This 20906-nucleotide long non-coding RNA is filed under the name Brassica napus (rape). RNAcentral describes it as "long non-coding RNA (BNAP_LNC013722)". Lineage: Eukaryota; Viridiplantae; Streptophyta; Magnoliopsida; Brassicales; Brassicaceae. The record is from RNAcentral.
GGCGGUGCUCCACCGAUUGACUUAUCCAACACGGCUUCUGUCGCGGCAGCAACAGGACAGGUCUGGACUCGGCGACCAUCGUUCUCUCUCUACACUACCAAUCACGACCAAGCCUAUGUCUCCUUCUCGGUAAUGAAACGUCUAAAAUAAAAUAAACAGUUCAAUCAUUUUCUUGGGAAAGACUCUAAGUUCUUCUCAAGUUUAUAAAAUAUAGGAGAGAAAUGUUAGGAACAAAUCGUACAGUGAUGAUAACGAUGAGAAGCUCGUCGGAGCAGCCAAAGAAGCUAAGAAGAGGCUGGACGAGCGGCUGAGGAACCCGCGAAGAAGGGUCGGUUUGGUUAAACAAGCGUAUGCUAGCAAAUGAAGUACUAAUUCACCUUAAAAUGCGCCAAACCAGCUCAAGUCUUUUGCUUUGAUUCCAUGAUAACGACGCAUGAUGAUGUAUUAUUUAUCUUUCAACAUGUGGUGGUAUCACAUGAGCAUAUAAUUGUGAGAUUGCCUUUUGUCGGACAAUUAUUUUAUCCCUUUAGUAUUAACGCACUUUCUCUGCCAGGCGCAUUUUAGCAAGUCCUCUUUAUUGAAUGUUAAGUUGCGUCUUUUAGUUUAUAAUGGAAACUUCCCGGAAACCACUAGGUAUCUUCCAAGAUUGCCAAAUCUGAUGUUAGCUCGUCUCGAUUUUUGCUUUGAAUUUUCAAAGGCAGAAUGGCAAAGACAGAAGAGUGAAUAAACCCAGGCAAUGGGAAAGGUAAAACUAAUGUUUGGAAACUCACUAGGCGUUGUAAGCGCGUGCCAUACAUGGAUCUAUCAAUUUAUUAAAAACUAGGAUAGGUAGCGCGGAUGUACGUUACGUGUAAUAAAUAUAAUUAUAUAAUUGUAUAUUUUUUUUUUGUGUGUGUUAUAUAAACUUUUGCAAAAAAAGUGUAUAAUAAUGUUUAUAGUUUUUGAGAAGUUAUGGUAUAAAAAGAUUAUGUAUGCUAAUUAAGAUUAAUUAUGUUUGAUUUCGAUGUUUGUGUCUACGUUAAUUGAUUGCGGCAUAUAACAUACUAUAAUAGGUGGAUGAGGUAUAAGUGGUGCUCUCGUUGUAAGUUUUUUGAUAAUUUUAAAUCCAAAAUUGGUUGGUUAAUUAUGGUUUGCUAUAUUGGAUUAUUAAAAAUAGACUUAUGGUUCUCGUGAUUAUCAUUUGUAUGGAUGGAUUGGGGUCAUGAUUGCAUUUCAUUACGGUUUAUGUUAGGCUGAAUAUGAUAUUUAAAAACUGAGUAAAAUAGUGAAAGUGUAAAUCUAACUUUUUAUAUUAUACAUUAACACUUAAAUGUAUAGUUAUAGACUUUCGUUUCAAAUAUUUCAAUUCGUUUAAGGCCGUUGCAUAGGUGUAAAUGAAAUACAUUUGAUGCAUAAAUAAUCUACGUCUUUUUGAAGCUCCAUUAUAUUUGUUUACUAUUAUGUAAAUAGUUUAGUUUUAUUUUUAUUUUUCUAUUAGUUUCUUAAUUUUUAGCGAUUAAUUGAAUAUUUUGUAGUUUUUUUUGUAAAUAAAUAAUAUUAUUUUUGUUAAAUGUAGAUAAUUUAAUAUUUAAAAUAAGUUUAUAUUUUAUGGAACCAAAAAAUACUCAACUCCGCUUAUUUUUAAUUUGGGAUAAUGAAUUUAUUUAUAUAUUCUAAUAGUUAAUUUUAUUUAUUUUUAAAAUUUUUAAUAAUCUUUAUAAAUUUAGUUUCUUUAUGAUAAUAUGAUGUUACGAUAGUAUUUAGAAUGCUUUUACUUAACUGUUUAUUUUAAUAUUUAUUUUAAUCUUCUAUAUACACACAUUAACUGUAUUUCAUAUAUGCACCAAGAGUAAUCUCCCACUCAAAUUUAUGGAUUAUUUUAUUUCUGUUAUGUUUCAAACUCGAGAGGCUGAAAUACGAUUUACAUGCAUGAAUAUUAAUAUUCUAAAUGAUUUUUAUUUGUUCUCUUAAUUUAUGUUUUGCACGUAUAUAUAUAUUGAGGGAGUUUUUUUUUUUAACACCGAGAGAGAGGGAGUUAAGAGAUAGGUUUAGUCUCUUGAGACUUUUAAACCUAGACUGAAUCUUAAAUCUAUAUAAUGUGAUAUGAUAUGAUAAGUAUUGGGGAUUGAAUCAAAGAAUAUCAUGUGUCAGCAUCUUAACUUGAUCCUUGUUUAUAAAUUAAUUAUUUCUUAAUUUCAUCGAACCUCGAGGCUUUUGAUUUAGACCAGUGUACGAAAUUUACUUGCAAGGUUGAAGAUGAUACAAAAACAAAGUGUAUCCAGUUUUAACUCAUUUGUUACAUCAGUGUAUACAUUAUAAUGAUUUCUCAGAAAAGGUAGCUGUUUCAUUUAUUGCAUAUGGGUCACCAACAAAUACGGUCAUGUUUCUCCGAUUAGUCUAGCAAGCCAAUCUCCUUUCUAGAUCAUCUGUUUCAGUAGUCUGCAAGAAGAGUUAAACAUACUGUUCAAAAAAAAGAAGAAGAGCUGAAACAUCAAAUAAUGAAUUAUCUUAGUAAAACAUGAAUUAUCUAUUCCAAAUACUUUUUUACAGAUCAAAAUAAGUAAUUUGAACUGAGAUUGUCAAUGCUGAAAGCUCGUUCUAAUUUCCUAAAGAUCUUUUGCUACACCUUUUAGCUAUCAUAUAAAAAAGAUCUAAUUUCUUCAUAGAAGUAAAAUUUUCAGAGGUAAGUACACAUACCAUGUGUAGCCACAACCAUUUCUAACUUGCAGGUGCGGGGAGCAUCUACACAUGAUAUGGUUUUCAAUUGAAUCAAAACAGAGUUGGAAUAAGUAAGGAAACUACGACACUGUCAGAUUCACUGCUCAAUUUUUAUAAUGAAAUAACCUGGGAGAACUAAGCUAGAACCCUAUUAUGGACCAGAUUGUCAGAUCCUAGCACAUGUGGAUAUAAAAGACCACAUUUUGAAGAAUCCUAUAGAUUAUAGAAGCGGUGAUAGAACCAGUUACGACAAUAUAGAUGAAAAUCAGUUUACCAUCACGAUCCCAAAUUCCAUUACAACCUUGACCACAAAGCAAUUCACAACAUGCUAAGAGAUCAACGACAAAUAAAGAAACAUUCUGCUACGAAAACGUAAGAAACCAUUUUAAUAUUUACAGGCGAACCUUUUCAUCAAGCAGCGACAUGUUAGGCCACAUGAGCUCCUCUCCUUUUUCACACUCCCUGCCUCCCAAAACCAAACUAACCGGGUAAAAUUGCCUCCCUAAAAAUGACCAGGCUUCAAUUGCUCUGCAUCCCUAUUUAUAGUAUUAGAAAUUGGGAUUAGCAGAGGAGUUGUGUGAGGCAAAUUAAUGAAUACGUAGUGGGGAUCCAUGAUGGAAGGAUGGUGUUAAAUAACAGAGAAACCGCUUCGAAUGGGAGAUUUGCGAGCAAGGGUAGAUGAGAAGACAGUGAAGGCCAGAGGUUAAUAGUAAUGAAUCCGUUCAGUAGAAAGGAGACGAAUGAAUUGAUGGAAACCCUAUAAUCUCCUAAGGCGGUCGGCGGAGAAAGGAGAUCGAUGAAACGACAAAAUAAGAAACGCCGCGUUUCGUACGCAUCAUAUUACGCUUAUAGUGGUAUGGGCUCAAUAAAGCUAAAGCUCAGACAAAAUAAGAAGCCAGGCCCAUCAGAUUUCGAGAAAGAAAUAAAUGAAACGUAGCGUUUUAUAAGGUGGACAGGUGUUGUGCUCACAAGAGCUGAUUUUCUGACCUAGAAUCCUAUGUGGCAGCUUCAGAAGUGAGUAAAACACUCAUUUAUAUAUAUAGAUAGAUAGAUAGAUAGAUAGAUACAUGAAGAUUUGGAAAGUACAGUAGAAUCUCAAUAAAUUAAUAAUGUUAGAACUUUGAAAUUUUAUUAAUUUAUAGAGAUAUUAAUUUACAAAAAUUUCUUUAUUUAGAUUUCUUAUUUUAAGAUAUAUUUAUUCGAAAAUAAAAAAUAUGAUUUUAGUGUAUAGAAAUUAAUUUUAUUUUUAAAUUUGACAUUUAUAUUACUUUUAUUAUAUUAUUUGGUGUAUAUAAUACAUAUUGCAUAGAACUUAAAUGUGAUUUUAGAUAUAAUAUUACUAAAUCUCAUCAAAAUAUAUUAAGUGUUAAAGAAAUAUAAAGAUAAUUCCAUUGUGGAUAUAAAACAAACAAUAUAAUAAUAGGUUCUUACUUAUAUGAAAUAUGUAUACAUAUAAAUUAUUAAUUUAUAAUAAUAAUGGGACCAUAUAUUUACUUAGAAUUUUCUAAAAAAUUAUUAUCUUAUUAUUUUAUCGAUUUAUGUCAAAUUUUGAACCGGUUCAAGUUGGAAACGACGAAAUUUAUUAAUUUAUAGAGAUUAUUAAUUUAUCAAGUAUUAAUUUAUAGAGGUUCUACUGUACGCUGAAAUUUUUUUUUGUACUCUUUUAUAUAUAUAAUAUGGUAUUGGUUUCAAAUUUUAUACGUCCGCUAUAUAUUAAUCAUAGAGCAUUACAACAUGUUUUAUCAGUCACAUAUUAUCACUAAGAUGAUUUUUAGAAUCCUUAGAAAAAAAAGUUGGUCCAUUCAAAUAUAUAUUAUACUUUUUAUUAAAAUAACUAUCAAAUUGAUUAGUAGUGUAAAAAAACUAUUUUUUUAUUUUUUCCUUAAAUUAAAGCUACGGAAUUACCUAAUAUGGUUAACAUAUAUGAGACAAUUAAUAAUUAUGAAUAAUACAUAUUUGAUUAGGAGUGGACAGAAAACCCGGACCGAACCAAACCAAUUCAAACCCAAAACGAUCCAAACCAAACCAAACUAUAUGUCUAAACCUUUUUGUUCAAGAUUUUAUCAAUCCAAAUGUUUCGGUUUGGUUUGGUUUAAAACCAAACCAAACCGAAGUGUUUUAAUCAGAUUAACUAAAUAUACUAAUAAUAUUAAAAUUUAAUAUAUUUAACCAUUAAGCAUAGACAUCUAAACAUAAUUUUAUACAUUUUACUUCUAAAUAAAUAAAAUUAACACAACAAAAAAUAUGAAUAUGAAUCUCAUACAGUUUUAUUUUAGCAUUUGGUUUACGAUUAAAUAUGAAAAAAGUGUUAAAUGAUGAUUUGUUUAUGUUUUUAUAAAUUAUAUUUUGUAAUAAAACUAAAAAAUUAAAUCAGUUGAACUGAAAAAAUACAAACGAAACCAAACACAAACCAAACCGAACACAACCAAAAUAAACUAAAACCGAACCAAACCGAACAUAAACCAAACCAUAGUAAUUUGGGUUGGCAUUGGUUAAAGCGUUUUUAGACCCAAAUAAACCAAACCGUAUCGAACCCAUAAAUAAUCUGAAAUGCCCACCCCUAUAUUUGAUAACAAUUUUUGUAUCCUCUUUUUUUUCUUUAAAAACAUUUAGAUUAUUAAAAUAAAUUUAACAAUCACAUUAAUCAUAUAUUAAAAGUUGUAGAUUUUUUCUUAUAUGUUAUAUUUUGAUUUUUUUUUAAAACGACUAUAAAUUAUUAAAAAUGGUAAAAGUCCCACGUUGAAAAUUUUGUGAUUAAUAGUUUAACUUUUUUUUUUCAAGCAAGAUACAAAUGAUCAUAAAUCAUAUGAAUAUGAAGUCUCAUAAAUAGAUAUUAUUAGUAUAUAUAUAUAUAUAUAUAUAUAUAUAUAUUAAUAAAAUUCAAAUUAAAUUAUAUACUUUUUUUUGUCAUCAACUUAUACAUACUCAUACUGACUCUGUGAACCAAACCGGGAGAUCUGCAUCCGUGUGAAUGACGAAAGACGAUUGCUUCCUGACACUGCGUGCUAGGCUAUACUAUAUAAAAAUAUAAAAAUAUGUUAAUAUCAAAAUUUGCGUUGAAAAAUUAUUGAGAGCUUAAUAUUUUAAUUUUAAAAUUUGAAUUGAUAAAUCUCACAUUAAAAGUCUUGUGAUUAACGGUUUAAAUUUUUGUUACAUCAAAUAUAUAAAUGUUAAUAAAAUCAUAUGAGUAGGAAGUGUCAAUAAUAAAUAUUUAUAUUAAAAUAUACUAUAUAUAUAUGUCAAUAUCACUAAAAUUUAAUUAUGUACCAUAUAAAGUAAAUAAAAUAAUUGUUUUGAUUUAUCUACCAAAAAUCUGAUUAUAAAUAAACAAAAGGUAUUGGUUUUAAUUUAUUUGCUUACUCUAAUGUAUAUUGUUUUAUGUAUACAAAUUAUUUUUAAAUAGGUGGUUUUUAAUAUGUUAGUUGAUCCUCACAAUCCCUCAAAUAAACUUCUUCAAUCGAAGCGAUUUUAUAUUGAAAGCAAUAUAUAUAUAUAUACAUUAUUUUAUUCAAAUUAAAUACUUUAGUCUUGAUUUUUAUUUCUACAUCAUGAAAAGAUUCCAAUCACCUCAUUUUAAGUUUGUCGAAGAAUGAGACGUUUGAUCAUUUUUCUGAUAUUUGUUUCUCCCUUAUACACUAACUAGCUAUUAUAAUUGUAAGAAUGAGAUAUGUGAACUAUUUAUUAUAAGUUUUCUGAUUUAUCAUCUAAUAAAUAAAAAAGUUCUUAUAUUUCGAGUAUGCACUUAUAUUAUAUAAAAACUUGAUAUAUUAGAUUUGAACACUAACAUGUGAAUACAUUUUGCUAGUGAUUUUGUUCAAAAAUUUGAUUCUUAGAUAUGUAUUUAGAUUGGAACUGAUUUUUACAGAUGUCCAAUUUUUAAAUUGACACUUAUGUAAUCACCGGAUUCACAGAAGAAGUUAAAAAAAAAAGAAACUAAAUUCUUAUCAGUGAAACAGAAACGAGAACGAAAGCACAAUUUUCUAGAAGUAGAAAAUGAAAUCAAUUAUGGAGAGUCAAUAGUAAACAAAUUGAGAGCAGAAAAACUAAUCCUCUUUCGUCAUUUUAGAGUAGAUGUUGUCUUUCUGGUUUUUGUUUGUGUCAGCCGUAAAACUUAAUUUUAUUUUGUGCAUAUGAAGUCUUAAAAAUAAUUUAAAUGAGAUGUAAUACGCUAACUCUCAACGAUGAUACAUUUAAUAGACCAACAUUAGUAUUCGUCAUUUUACAGUUGAUAAAGAUUUGUUGCAAAAUGUUAAAACCAUUUAACGGACAAACGUUAGUACAAAAAACUUACCCGCGCAUGAACGCGGAUUAUCUUCUUGUAUAAUACUAAAAGUUAGAUACAUCAUUGAUAUUAAAAUUCAUAGAUUUAUAUAUAUAUAUAUAUAUAUAUAUAUAUAUAUAUAUAUAUAUAUAUAUAUAUAUAUAUAUAUAUAUAUAUAUAUAUAUAUAUAUAUAUAUAUAUAUAUAUAUAUAUAUAUAUAUAUAUAUAUAUAUAUAUAUAUAUAUACUAAUUAGGUCACAAAAUAUAAGUUGUACUUUUAGUUCACAUAUAAAAUAUAGUCUACUUAGGGACGCAAAAAAUAUAGGACAAAAAUAUAUCGUUUUGAUCUUGAGAACAACCCAAAGAAAUUUAGGAUUACACUUUCAAUCCUCUAUUCUUCAAUAAUCUGGGAACUUGGGUGGCAAGCACAAAACCAAUGCAAUUCUCCAUCUCUUCCUCAUGCUCCACAAGCCCAACGACCAUCAUCUUCAAAUCUAACAUAUUACAAUCAUGUUAAUGUUUUUUAAAUAGUCUAUUUUGAUCAUACACAUAAAAAUAAUAACAAAUAAAAUACAAAUAAUAUUCAUGUGUUAUUUUAUACAUAUAUUAAUUUUAUAAUAAUCAAAUGCAAAUCUAAUAAUACAAUGUAUAUAUAUUAUCAUUUAUAACAAAAAUUAAAUUACUCUAUGUAAGAUUUUAAUUUCUGCCUUCAAAAUUCAUAUAAACAUUUAAAUAUAUGGAAAGUAUUAAAAUAUUAAAAAUUAAACAUUUUAAAUAAUAUCAAUAUAUAAAGUGAAAACAAACAUCUGCAUAUGUGCGAAGGCCAAGCUCUAGUACAUUGUUAAAAGGAAACAAAUCUUUCAUAUACUAGUACAUUUUUUAAAAUUAAAUAAAUAAUAAUUAAAUAAAGUAAUUCUUUGGUCAAAUAGAAUAAAAUCUUUGAAAAUGAAAAAAUAAAUCUGUUAUUAUUUAGUGUAUAUAUGGUCAACGAAAAAUUAAAUUCGUGAUAAACUAGUCAAAUAUAAAUAUGUUAAAAAAGUUGUUGUUGAAAAUAAUUUUUAUUUCAUAUCACAUAAUUAAUAGUUUAAUUGGUCAGAGCACUGCCCCGUCAAUAUUCCAUAUUUACAUAUUAUUAUCAUAAUUAGAGUCAAUUUUCCAAAAAUAUAAUAAUAACUCUUAUUAUUAAAUUUAUUAUAAUUGUCAACUCAUCAUCCUAUAAAUCUCUCUUUUAGUGUCUCCCAAAAUUUAGAGUCUUACAAUAUACAAUAAACAAGUAACUAAAUCUAGAAAUAAUUAUGGCUAAAGCAAAAUUUUCAGUUGUUUUCCCCAUCAUCUUCCUUAUAAUGUUUGCUUUAGGUAUGCGUCUAUCUUAACUUUUCCUCAAAAAGUGUAUUCAGUUACAAUUUUAAUCUAGUACCAGUCUUGUUUGUUAGAACAUGUCUUGAAUAUUGUGAUGAUAGUUUUUUGAAAUACAUAAUCCCUAAAAAUAUAUAUAUAUAUAUACAUAAUUUUUGAUAGUUUACUCAUAGCAAUAUUCAAAGAUUCUUUUUUUUUGUUAAGAAAUAGCAAUAUUCAAAGAUGCUCGCCUUAUUUAACUUAGUUUUCUGGUUUUGCCUUUAUUCAUUGGUAUAUAUAUAUAUUGUAUUUUAUUGUGUUGAUAUCUCCUAAAUCUUAGUUUUUCAUUAUUUAAACAUAAAAUGUUGUUUUAUCUAUUGUAGCUGAGGAUUGUAUGGGAUGUCAGGCGAUGCUUGGUGAUUGCCGUAGAUGCGGAAUAAAAUGCAGUUCUUACGGAAGACAUGCAGAGGCUCACUGUGAUUACCGCUAUGAUGGUGGCGCUUGUAUUUGCGACUUUCCUUGUAAUCCUCCACCAAACCUUUAAAAUGGAAAAUUAUUGGUAAUUAAUAUGAAGAAAUAAUAUGUUGAAUCUCAUAAUCAUAGUUGCUGCAAUAUUUCAUAUUUUAAAUAAUAAUUCUGUGAACCUUUGAUAUCAAUAAAAUUUAUAGAACACAAAACUAGUUGCAUUUAGAUUUUUAAAUUAAAAUUAGAGCUAAACAUAAAUAGGAUUUAAAGUUUGAUGCAAACUGAUGAAAUCAAAUUAAACCGAUAAAAAACUGUACUCCAACAACUAGAGUUGGACAUUCAAAAAAUCUUUGGGGGUUUAUUUAGAUUAUUUAUACACCAACCAGAGAUAACCAAAUAUCUCCUGCACAUUAUUUUUGAGAAGUGAUUUGACAUCUAAUCUAUUAAUUUAGGGUUCUUUUUUAAUCUAUCAUUAACAAAUCAUAGUAUGCCCACUUAAAAAAUUAGUUAAUAUGAUAUAUUUGAUUAUUUACAUUAAUAAUAAAACAACUAUAAAUUUGAUUUUUUAAUUAUAAAUAUUUUUAUAAAAUAACAUAUUAAUUAAUUUAGUAAUUAGUAAUAUAAUAUUGUUGUAGAUCAAUUUUAACUAAAAUUUUAAUAUAAAACAAGAAAAUUAAAAUUAUCUACUAUUUUUCAUAAAUUAUAUAAUUAUAUUCUGUAUUAUAUAAAAAGAGAAGUGCUAUAGGAAUUAAAUAUGAUAAAAUUAUAUUUUAACAAAUUUUAGUUUUUUUUAAAAAAUUAUUUCACUUAAAUAAAUUAUCACUCAUCAUUAAAAUGAGUUAAAACUUGUAAACUAUAUAAUAUUUUAUAUCAAAAUAAAUUUAUUAAUAUAGGUUAAACUUUUAUAUCUACAACUAUAUAUAUUAUAUAGUUUGUUUUCAAACCUUUGACUAAAAAAAAUAUUUGAAGUGGGAGGUGUAUAACUUUGCGCGGGGCUCUCUUUGUAAUUGAUUUUUGGAGGUUGUAGUAGAUCAAAGUGUGACAAUUCUUUUUGGUUAUUCAUGGUCUUCUUGGUUUUCCAGAUUGACAUAUGCAAUGAUGGAAAUGUAAUAUUUCUUCUUGUAUUAGUGUAGUAUUUUCUUAUAACCAACCGUUGCUAGUUUCUUGAGUUUUUCGUUAUAUUUUAGUUUACUAUAUUCAUUUUCUUUUCUCCUAGAAAGUUAGAAACAUAGUUUUUCGUUACAUCUGAUUAUCUUACCAAUAUAUAUAACUAAAUACAUAUAACUAUUAACCUGUUGGCAUGAGCGGGGUUCGUGUGCUUUGCAUGUUUCAAUGAAAUUAAUUUUCAAGAAUCUCAAUAGAACUGCUCUCAUCUCUAUGAUGUUGAGUCCAGCCUUCAUUGGAGAAAGACAUGGACUCGAUGAAUCCUAUAGUAACUGUUCCUAGAAGUAACACCAUAAAUGGCUACAAUAAGGUUAUCCAAGCUUUAUCACUUUAUCCCGCUGUUCACUAGCACAUAACUCUUCGCAUUUUACUUGAUUAGUUGAUAUAGGUCAACUUGAACUUGUGUUUUCGAAUAACUGUACUCCACGUCUGGGGUGAAAGAUAGCUUAGUUCCGACAGCAAUGACAUGGACCGGGUCCUUCCUAUUCUUUCUUUCCCUGAGACCAUCAUUAACCCCAGUUUCUUAACUGAGAUUCUUAGCUUCGGCUAAGAGACGGUUCUUAACCAAGGUUAAUGAUGCCCUAAUUUUAAUUAUAUGCAAACUUCUCCUUAAAAUAAUACAAGACAUUCUCUUUGUUUUUACUUUUUUCACAUUUUCUUAAAGACUAACAAUCAACAGGCCGUUUUCAUUUUUUCACAUUUUCUUAAGGACUUACAAUCAACACGUCUUUAUACGAAGAAUUAUUCUAUAUAGCUUAAAGUGCAGCAAAAAAACGGACGGAUUUCAACAAACCAAAUUUUGGUAGGCAAUUAGGACUUAGAUAACGUUAUUUGGAGUGAAAAAUUGUAAAAAUAACUACCUUUUGUGCUUAGAAUUUUGGAGUCAUGCUGCUUGAAAAAUAGAAGCUUAGGUGAUCUCUGUGAUUUGUGAUGAUUCUUAGCAUAUAGACAGUCCAUUCUUUCCUAAAAUCAGAACGACACUUUGCCCUUUCUUCUUGUGUUCUUCAAGCCAUUUUAGAUCACCAAUGAGGCGAUAUGACAAUUCUUCUCAGAAAAUCCAUAACGUCAAGCCCACGAUAGCCGCACAACCGCUCAACGCAUCUUACGUUCAGCAAGUAUAUAAACUUAUUUACCCCUAUUUUCAAAGAUCGAAACCUGAAUCCACAUAAACGUUGGUUUUCUUGGUUUACAUCAUAAACUGAAUACCAAACUAAAUUAAUAACCCAAAGCCAAAGAGAACCAAAUCCAAAUAAAACCUUACCAAACCAAAAUUCAAUUCAUAAAUGACCCAAUUUCAUUUUCUUCUUCUCAUCAUCGCCAUUUUUUAACAACAAGCUUUAUUAGAUGAAAUUGUAUACAUGAAAAGAAUUAAGCAAACAUGAGGAAGAUUAAAAAAAAUCAGAAAUUUGAAUGUUGCAGAGCCUUUUUCGCAAGAGCAUCAUCUCGUACGGCUAUACCUCUGCUGCGAGGAGGUGGGAAUGCUAUGCAUCAUCUCGUACGGCUAAUCCGAAGUUCUCUUAGAGAUUGAAUGAUGUUGGUAGAGUAGAUAUGUUGUUGCUUCUCUGAUCUCCAUAACUGAACCGACGAUUGAGAAGGUGGUGGUGACGGCUGUUUCUUCUUCCGUUUACGUCGCGAUUGAUUAUAACCAGUGUUCGUCGGAAAAAUGGACUCCAUGUCAAAUCCUCUGUUUCACCCAACUAAGACGUUUCUGAAGACAGAUUUAAUUAAGGACUGGAGUUAACAUAUUAGUUUUUUGUUUUCUUAUUGAUAUGGUCGGGUGAAGAAGACGAGGUUGAAGAAGAUGGAGAUCGGGUAGAGUUACGGAAGACACAGUUAAUUAUGGUUUGGUAUUUUUGAGAUUUAAUAUGAUUUAAUUGAUUUAAUCAAUUUUAAACUAGGUUUAACAGUUGGUUAACUUGUCUAAUACUAAUUGGUUAAAACAAACCAGGUUAAAACUAAAAAUUGAGAAAUAGUAAACCAAUCUACACCAGCUCAAUGUCGGUUUCAGUUAUCUACACCAGCUCAAUGUCGGUUUUAGUUCUCAUCUAAAGCAUUACGUGGAUUUUGAUUUCCAUCUUUGAAAAUAGGGGUAAAUAGGUUCAUGUACUUAAAAUGUGUGUAAUUAGGACGAGCAUGAAAGAUUGUGUGAAUUUGUUACUAUACGAUACUUUUUUUUUUUUUUUUUUUAACCUAAGGGUAUCCCGGGCCUAUGGAAGGGUCCAGACUAAUCCCCAAGGGGAGGUGCAACCCACGGAUAGACCCUCUUUCCGGGUAUGCAAAUGGGUCCUAAAGCAUGGACCCAUAUCCGUGUGGGGUGUCCAGAGACAUCAUGAGGUAGUUCCCUCCGGCGGGGUUUGAACUCGCAAUCUGGGUGCAGGAAGGAGCCCGUCCUUACCAUUGGGCCAUGAUGUUCUGGACACUAUAUGAUACUUCUGGUGGAUAAAUAGAUCGUUUACCCUACAAACACACUAAUAUAUUAUUUUGGAAGUCCAUCCAAAAGUUGCCAAAUGCCUUCCAAUAUUUAGUAUAUAUAAUUAAUGUUUAAGUAAAUUUAUGUGUCCGACAAUAACAAACGAUUCUCCUCAGCCUAAUCGCUAAACCACUACUCUUACUAAACUUGAAUCGUCCCCCCCCCCUCCCCCCCGCGUUCGUUUUUCCCCGGAAUCGGAACUUUUUUGGGUUUUAAAUUGAAUAGAAAUUUGAUGGUUAUAUAUUUUUUAAAUGCUUCCCUAACAGAUAUAACAUUUCGGUCCAGCGGCUGCACACAACUAUUCCAUGUCCCAUAGUUCCUCGGUUCAAUUCCUCGGUCUUGUAAAAUAUUUUAAUUUUUGUUCCUUCUUAAAAUUAUAUAACUUUUUUGAAAGUUACCAACGUGUAGAUCAAAUCUUUAAUUUUUCAUCUUAUUUCAUCUUUUGUUAUUGAGAAACACACUAAUAUCUUUAUAUCCUUAUUUUAGGUAAUAACUUAUGCAAAAAACACUCAUUUUAUUUUUUUGGAAACUCACCCUAAAAAUGACGCAAGCUUUCCUAGAUAUCAUAUGUGUUUUAUAAUGAUACCACAUUUAACAUUUUGUUGAUAAAAUUACUGAAAAUUCUUCAAGACAUCCUGAAACUUCUUCAAUAACUACCUGAAUGAAACAAAUGUUUUCAUAAUUCAUUACAACUUCUUAGGAACAUUCCAUACUUGCCCAAGUCAACACUAAUAGCACACGAAGUUUAAGAACAUAGUCUGAGCUAAACAGAAAAUGAGUGUGACAUGUUCACUUUCUCUGACCUUCCUUGAAAUCUUUUCUUCUGCUUGAUUCGGUUUGGAUGACGUCUCAUUCGAUGGCUUUGUGUCAGUCUGCAAAAAUCAGGAAGGCUAUCAUGAUUAUAUACAAAAAAUUCCAAAAUUACUUGAAAACUUCAAAAAUAAAACAAGAAUGAGCAUAUACGUGUUGUGUCACAUUAGGUGAGAAAUAUUGAGUCCUAGUAUGUGUCUCAGCCUAUAAGGCAAAAAAAAACUGUAAGAGAUUUUUUUUCAGAAUAAAUCUUACCUUAUCGUCAAGUUUUUCAUUGGAUGACAUCUCACUCGAUGGCUCUAUUUCAUUCUGCAAAAAUCAUAAAGGCUAUCAUGAUUAUGUAUAAAAUCUUCCAAAACUGCUUGAAAACUCCAAGUGUAAAAUAAGAUUUGAGCAUAUACGUGUUGUGUCACAUUAGGGGGAAAAACAUGAGUCCCAGUCUGUGGAGACAAUGGAUAGGCAGGUGUCUCAUUCGAUGGCUCUGUCUCAUUCUGCAAAAAUCAUAAAGGCUAUCUUGAUUAUGUACAAAAGCUUCCAAAACUUUUUGUUCCGAUGAAAUCAAUGUUCUGAGUUGAAUACAUUGUAUUGACUUUUUGUUUCUGUGUUCAGAUAGUACCAGAGAGGUGCAGAUAUAAAAUUUCAAGCAUUAUCGACUACUUCUAUACACAACUCAGCUUAAGAUAUUAUGAUCUAACAAAUGCUAACCAAUUUUAUGUGUAUUCUUGACAAGAAAAAGCUAUAACUUUUAGAGGAACAAGAGAACUAAAACAUCGACACAUACAAGUUUGAAACAAUAUCAUAUCACCCAAUCUACCUGUAUGACACAAUCAGAGUAAAAAAAAUUGAAUCUCAGACAAAUAAAGCAUUUGUCAAAGAAGAACUAGGAACAUCAAAGAUUCAAAAUGGCUUACCAAAAAGCAAGGUAACGAAUUCGUCUUCUUCCGUAAGCCAUGUUCUGUAAAUAAAGCUUCAUGAGAUUCCUUCAUUGUAUUCUGAUUAUGUUCUCUCUGAUCGAUUUGAACAACAAAAUAAGCUCAAAUAUAUUAUCUGAAGAACAACAAAUCGAAACCCCCAAAUUUCAAUUCGAAAACCCUAAGUUUUCGAAUUGAAAUUGAAAAUUUUCUUUGUAAACCAUUGUCAAUAAAGAUUAAAACAUAUCGAUACACAACUCGUUUCUUCGACAUGGAUAAUCACUGCUUCGUUCCUCGCCGGACUUCAACAACUCGUCGCCAGAGAUUACUUCACGAUAUUUUUUUUGGUCGAGAUAAUAUUAUAGUUGAAAAAUGGCAUUAUAGUCUUUAUCUCUAUAAACAAAGGUUAUUAAUCUGAUUUUCAGUUUGAUAGACUACUUUUGAGACAAAUAUUAAAUAAAGUUAUAUUAUUUUUUUAUUCAUUUUAUUUGAUAAUUUACUGUUACGCUCUUAUUUUUAUAAAAUCACCCCGACUCCAUUUUGGUUUUAUUUUAAAAACAAUUUCGAGUUUCUUAUAAUAUAUUUUUGAUUAAAGCAAAAUUAUAAAGAGAAAUCGUAAUGUUAUAUAAAAAUAUUCUAUAUAUUAUUUUUUGAUCAAAAAUAUUCUAUAUAUUUAAAACUACCUUUUUUGUAUAUACUUAAUUUAACGCAUCAUAUCAUUAUCGAGUAUGUAACCUAUACUGCCGUCCUCAAUUAUUUGUGAUAAAUAUCUGUAGCUACAAGACAAGAAGAAAAGCUAUGGCUGGUAUGCUUCCCGGAGUUGAGUGCGCAAGGAGACGGCGCUUCCACGGCGGUGCUCCACCGAUUGACUUAUCCAACACGGCUUCAGUCGCGGUAGAACCAGGACGGGUCUGGACUCGGCGACCAUCGUUCUCGCUCUACACUACCAAUCAUGACCAAGCCUAUGUCUCCUUCUCGGUAAUGAAACGUCUAAAAUAAAAUAAACAGUUCAAGCAUUUUCUUGGGAAAGACUAACUUCUUUUCAAGUUUAUAAAAUAUAGGAGGGAAAUGUUAGGAACAAAUCGUACGGUGAUAAUAACGAUGAGAAGCUCGUCGUAGCAGCCAAAGAGGCUAAGGAGAGGAUGGACUAUUGAGAAGAAGAAGAAACAUGGAUUUCAUCUGCAGAAACCCAUCCACAUAAAUCCAUCUGCAGAAACUCAUCCAUAGGAAUUCAUCCACAAAAACCCAUCUGCAGAAAUCCAUUCACAUGAACUUAUCCAACACGACUUUGGAGGAAAAAAAACCAUUUGAAUUUUGAAUUAAAAGAACUGUUGGAGACUUGUCACAUCAGACUCAAUUGUUAGAUUAUUUUUCUGUAAAAUCUCUCUAUAUGUACUUAGCUGUAGACACAAGAGAAGUUUAAGGGAAUAAAAUUAUCCUUCUUUAUUCUCUCUCUCUUUACUUUCUGAUUAAGCUCCUCUCUCUCUCUCUUGUUCUUCACUUUGUUCUUCAAUUUCUUACAUGGUAUCAGAGCUUCCAAGCUCUUGAACACCAAAUUGCUUCCGCAAAUCUAUUAUAUUCACCUUACUCUUUCACUUGUUUGGUUUACUUUAUUCAGAAUCUCUUUCACUUUCUUUUACCCAGUGGGUAACAUAAACUGUUCUUGACAAAAAAAAAAUCUCAUAAACUAGAAGUGCUCACUCUGUUCUGUCCAUCUUGCUUCAUUUGUAGAGAACAUAUCUUGGUUGUCCUUGUUUCUCUCCUGUCUAGCCUCAGAAAUUCAAAUUUCUUCUCAGCGCUUCCUUUUAUCCGCUGGACAAUAGCAAACAAAGAUGGAGCAGCACAAGCCAGUGAUGAUUCCAGUCACCCUGAAGGGUCCUAACUACAUUACCUGGUCGAGAUUGACCAGGACAACUCUUUGGGGAAGAGGUCUAUGGGAGCACAUCACCACCAGUGAAGCCCCAAGACAAAUCACCCAAGGAGAAGAUGGCAAGGAGGUUGUAGUGGUAGAUGAAUGCAAAUGGGGUCAGGAGGAUCUCAUGGUGCUGUCUAUCUUGCAAGGCUCACUUGAUACUCCUAUCAUGGAGUCUUACUCACACUGUGAGACUGCAAAGAAGCUAUAGGAUACCUUACACAAGGUAUAUGGCAACACUUCAAACCUCACCAGAAUUUUUGAGGUUAAAAGGGCAAUCAGCAACUUGCAGCAAGAGGAGAUGGACUUCACCAAGCACCUUGGGAAGUACAGCCAGCUGUGGUCUGAACUUGAGAUGUUGAGGCCAAGUACCACUGAUCCUAGUACACUAGAAGAGAGGCGUGAGCAAGACAAGGUCUUUGGAUUGCUUCUCACACUCAACCCAAGCUUCAAUGAUGUACUUAAACACAUAUUGAGAGCUAAAGAGUUUCCAAGCUAUGAUGAUGUGUGUUCUCAACUUCAGAAGGAUCUAGGCUCAGAUGGUCUCUUUGGUGGAAAAUGGGAACUGUCUAUGGCAAACAAAGAUGAGAAGAUGGAGAGUGCUUCAAUCAACAAAGCACACUUCAAACCAAGAAGAGGAGGAGACAAGUCUGUGACUUGUGGGCACUGCAAGAAUCUAGGCCACUCCAAAACCAAUUGUUGGAUCCUUCAUCCUCACCUCAGACCUGCUUCAACCAACAGAUACAACCAGGCUAGAGCACAUGAAGCAAGAGCUCAUGAGACCACAGUAUCAGGCUCCAUGUGCAUAGGAGAAAAUGGAAGAGCUAUGAUCUCAACCACCCACACUGGUGGAUCCACAUCUCAUGCCAUGUCUCAGCCAUCUCCUGAUGAUGCCUUCAUCCGCAAGUCAGACAUUGAAGCUCUUAUCAAGGCUAUCAAUGCAAACUCUGGUAACAUCAGUGUCAAUGCUUUAAAUUCUAUUCACAGUGCUUCACACACUACUAGACCUUUGAUCAUUGACUCAGGAGCUUCUCAUCAUAUGAUUAGGGAUGCUAGACUGAUUAGUGAUGUUAAACCUGCUCUAGUGAGUGUAGUGAUUGCUAAUGGUGAUAGAAUUCCAAUUGAAUGAGUAGGAAACUUGAAACUGUUUGAUAAGGAGUCUCAAGUUUUUUAUAUGCCUACUUUCACAUCCAACUUAUUAUCUGUGAAAAGAGCAACUAAUGAUCUAAAUUUUGUGUUAUUUUCAGUCCUAAUGAUGUGUGCUUUCAGGAUAUUAAGACCAGUAAGAUGUUGGGAAAGGGUGUGAGCAAGGGAGAGCUUUACUUGCUUGAAGACACCAAGCUUUCAGAUUUAUCUUGUGCUUUCAAUUCUGCUUCUGUUUUAGCUAGUGAUGUUUUAUGGUAUGCUAGAUUAGGUCAUCCUCAUUCCCGUGCCUUAGGAUUGAUGUUACCUAAUCUAUCUUUAAAGAAUGAAAGUUGUGAGGCUUGUAUUCUUGGUAAACAUCAGAGAUAUGUUUUCUCUAAUUCUAAGACCAUUUAUGAAAAUUGCUUUGAUCUUGUGCACUCUGAUGUUUGGACAGCACCUUGUGUGUCUAGGGAGAACCAUAAAUAUUUUGUUACAUAGAUGAAAGAUCAAAAUAUACAUGGCUCACCUUGAUUCAAACUAAAUAUAGAGUUUUAGAAGUUUUUAUUAACUUCCAAAACUAUGUAUCUAACCAUUUCAAUUCCAAGAUCAAAAUUUUUAGGUCUGAUAAUGGUGGGGAAUACACAAGCACUGCUUUCAAACAUCACUUAGCAAAACAUGGCAUAAUCCAUCAAACAAGCUGCUCAUACACACCACAACAGAAUGGAGUUGCUGAAAAGAAGAAUCACCAUCUUAUGGAGGUUGGAAGGAGCAUGAUGUUCCAUAUCAAUGUUCCAAAGAGGUUCUGGGGAGAUGCUGUGGUCUCAGCAUGUUAUUUGAUCAACAGGAUCCCCACCAAAGUCCUCCAAGAUAUCUCUCUCUUUCAGGUAUUAAACAAAAUAAAACCUCCAAUUGAUCACUUGCGUCUUUUUGGGUGUGUGUGCUAUGUCUUGAUACCAGGAGAACAUAGAAACAAGCUUGAAGCCAAGAGUGUCAAAGGCAUGUUCAUAGGAUAUACUCAUGCGCAGAAGGGGUACAAGUGCUACAUACCCGAAUCAAGAAGAGUUAUGGUCUCAAGGGAUGUUAAGUUUGUGGAAUCAAAAGGGUACUAUGAUGAGAAGAGUUGGGAAAGCCUUCAGGGUUUCUCAUAAGGACCUUCAGAUAGGGCAAAUAACUUGAGAAUCAUUCUGGAAAGCCUAGGCAUCAGCCAGCCUCAUACAAGUGCAGUACCGAGCACUUCAUCUUUACCUCCAGUUGUGGAUGAAGCUGCACCAAUUGAAGAAGCAUUCCAUCCUGAUCAUGAGGGGGAAAAUCAACCUAAUUUGCAAGUUAUCCACGAGGAAGCUAUCCGCGACGAAGCUAUCCACGAGGAAGCUAUCCAAGAAGAAGUUGUUCAUGAUCAAAAUGGAAUGCAACAAGAAGUUCAACCAUUAAGGAGGAGUACAAGGGUGAAGAAACCAUCUCAGUGGAUGGACACCAAAGUAUACUUCAACAACAGUGCAGUGUCUCAUCCUAUCCAAGUAACAUGUUCUUUUGCGAGUUAUCCUUAAGAGCAUGUAGUCUUCAUCAGCAACCUGGAUCAAGAGUAUGUACCAAAGACUUAUGAAGAAGCCAUGGAGCAUGAAGAGUGGAGAGAGUCAGUUGAGGAUGAAGUUAGUGCCAUGAUCAAGAAUGAUACUUGGUAUGAAACUGAGCUCUCCAAAGGAAAGAAAGCUGUUACAAGCAGUCUACUCUUCACCAUCAAAAACCUUGCCAAUGGGAAACCCGAAAGAAAGAAGACAAGGCUAGUUGCAAGAGGAUACACCCAAGUCUAUGGAGAAGACUAUUUGGAUACAUUUGCACCAGUAACUAAACUCUACACAAUAAGGAUUCUACUCUCCUUAGCAGUGAACUUGGAAUGAGAUUUAUGGCAAAUGGAUGUCAAAAAAUGUUUUUCUUCAAGGAGAGCUGGAGGAUGAGGCUUACAUGAGGCCACCUCCGGGUAUGGAAGACAUGGUCAAGCCAGGGAAUGUCCUAAGGUUGAAGAGAGCAAUCUAUGGAUUAAAACAGUCACCAAGGGCUUGGUACCACAAACUGAGUACAACUCUCAAUGGAAGAGGGGUUUGUAAAAUCAGAAGCUGAUCAUACACUCUUCACACUCACAAGCAAUCACGGAAUUGUGGUGAUUCUUAUUUAUGUAGAUGAUAUUAUCAUCACAGGAAGUGACAAGGAAGGUAUCAUCUCAACCAAAGUUUUUCUUAAGUCUACUUUUGAUAUUAAAGAUUUGGGUGAGCUAAAGUACUUUCUAGGGAUAGAAAUAUGUCGCUCUAAAGAGGGGCUUUUCUUAUAUCAAAGGAAGUACACACUUGAUCUUUUGAAUGAGGCAGGAAAGCUUGGAGCGAGAGUAGCUAAAACACCACUUGAAGAAGGGUACAAAGUCUUGCAUGAGGGGGAGUUUGAGGAUAAACCAUUUGGAGACUUCAAGCUCUAUAGAAGAAUGGUUGGGAAGCUGAUCUAUCUCACCAUUACCAGACCAGAUAUGAACCAAGUUAGCCAACAUAUGCAAGCACCUAAGGUUCAUCAUUGGAAUAUGGUGGAAAAAGUUAUGAGGUACCUAAGGGAGGCUCUGGGUCAAGGUGUUUGGAUGGGAUGCAACAAGAGCACAAAGAUUGUGGGAUAUUGUGAUGCAGAUUAGGCUGGUGAUAGAGUAGACAUGAGGUCUACUACAGACUAUUGCACCUUCAUUGGAGGCAUUACUUGGAAAAGCAAGAAGCAAAAGUUGGUAUCAUGUUCAAGUGCUGAGGCAGAAUAUAGAGCAAUGAGGAAGCUUACUAUUGAGCUCCUCUGGAUCAGAAAGUUGCUAAGAGACUUGGGCAUAGAGACUACAACACCAAUCACAAUGCACUGUGAUAAUCAGGCGGCCAUCCAUAUUGCUUCAAACUCAGUGUUUCAUGAGAGAGGACAAAGCACAUUGAAGUGGACUGUCACAAAGUGAGACAAGCUGUGGAGCAGAAGAUUAUCUUACAGCAACACUAGAAGUGAAGACCAACUAGCUGAUAUCUUCACCAAAUGAGCAAACACCAAAGUUUGUGAGUCCAUCCAUCCAAGGUUAGGACUCAUAGACCUGUCUAGAUCAUGAUCCCCUUUGCCAUGAACCAUCUACUCUUUUUCCUUACUGUGUUUUUGUCCCAUUGGAUUUUUCACACUAAGGUUUUAAUGAGAGAUGUGUUCAUGGCUUCCAAGCUUGAUCAUACCUUAUGCUCAAGCUUGAGGGGGAGUAUUGAGAAGAAGAAGAAACAUGGAUUCCAUCUGCAGAAACCCAUCCACAGAAAUCCAUCUGCAGAAACCCAUCCAUAGGAAUUCAUCCACAGAAACCCAUCUGCAGAAAUCCAUCCACAUGAACUUAUCCAACACGACUUUGGAGGCAAAAGAAACCAUUUGAAUUUUGAAUUAAAAGAGCUGUUGGAGACUUGUCACAUCAGACUCAAUUGUUAGAUUAUUUUUAUAUAAAAUCUCUCUAUAUGUACUUAGUUGUAGACACAAGAGAAGUUUAAGGUAAUAAGAUUCUCCUUCUUUACUCUCUCUCUCUACUUUAUGAUCAAACUUCUCUCUCUUGUUCUUCACACUGUUAUUCAAUUUUUUACAUGGACGAGCUGCUGUGGAACCCGCGAAGAAGGUUCGGUUUGGUCAAACAAAUGUAUGAUAGCAAAUGAAGUACCAAUUCACCUUAAAAUGCGCCGAACCAGCUCAAGUCUUUUGCUUUUAUUCCAUGAUAACGAC